RNAcentral lists this ribosomal RNA (253 nucleotides) under uncultured bacterium. RNAcentral's name for it is "partial 16S ribosomal RNA". It matches the Rfam family "Bacterial small subunit ribosomal RNA", at positions 524 to 776 of the family's 1533-position model. The record is from RNAcentral.
UACGAAGGGGGCUAGCGUUGUUCGGAAUUACUGGGCGUAAAGCGCGCGUAGGCGGACCUGCAAGUCGGGGGUGAAAGCCCGAGGCUCAACCUCGGAACUGCCUUCGAUACUGCGGGUCUCGAGUCCGGGAGAGGUGAGUGGAAUUCCUAGUGUAGAGGUGAAAUUCGUAGAUAUUAGGAAGAACACCAGUGGCGAAGGCGGCUCACUGGCCCGGUACUGACGCUGAGGCGCGAAAGCCAGGGGAGCGAACGGG